This 708-nucleotide long non-coding RNA is filed under the name Rattus norvegicus (Norway rat). Its description in RNAcentral is "long non-coding RNA NONRATT007238". The record is from RNAcentral. Lineage: Eukaryota; Metazoa; Chordata; Mammalia; Rodentia; Muridae.
UUGUUCAUGGUAUUUGCAUAUUACAGUCAUCUUCGAAUUCAUAAAAGUGAGUACCCCUAUAAAUGGAGUCAAUAUUAGGAGGCCUUUUGUCAGAACAGUUAUUUACAAAUAUCUAAAAUAACAUGUCCUGGCAAGAAACCCUACAAAUGUAAUCAAUGUGAUUAAGCACAGUUAUAUGCGACUAGGUAGAAGAACACCUGCCUGAGACGACACUAGGAGGUAAGCAAUGUGGUAAAACCUGUGCGAGUAACUGUGCUCAGGAGAAAAAGCCAUAGUGCAAAGAAACCUGUGAAUGCAGUCAUUGUGGUAAAGCUUUACGUGUUAUGAUCUCUUUAUGCAAUAUUAAAAGCCUUAGUGUGCAAUUAAUCUGUUAAAGGCUUUACACAUCACAGUAGUAUUUAGGGACCUGAAAGAAUUCAUACUAUAGGGGAUCUAUAAGGAUCCUAUAAGAACUGUAGCCAACAUACUUCAGUUGCACAAGAUUAUUCUGAAGAGAACAUCUGACCAGUGUUAACAAUCAAGCAUUAUGGUGUUCCUCUUGUUUUAUUUGUACUUGUAAAUUCAUAUGCGCAAGUGUAUGAAUGUAAGUGAUAGCCCUUUUAGACUUCACAAUUCUCUUCAAUUACUCAUCCAGAUGUAAAAGUUUACGGGUGUGAACUACUGCCUUUUUUGUUGCUAUAAUAAAACAUCGUGCCUAGGGCAACUUAU